AGCCUGUGAAGGCCAUUUGUUUGUAACACAUCUCCCUUGAGGGCCAAGUUUGUUUCAGCUGAUUUGCUGGGAAAGGCAGCUACCUCCUCUUUAUCUCACCAUUCUACCUGGACACCUGCCAAUGAUGUACAUUUGGUCAAGGAGCACAACCUCCUAAACAGAGUGCCUUUUAUCUUAUCAAGGGUAUUCAAGGAUCUGCACUAUCCUGCAAGAUCUAAAUAAGUUUAAGGCCAGUGGGGGAAUGACAUAGAACAGUAAAUCUUCCAAGACUGCCUUUCUCUAAAAACCUGUCCCAGAGAUUGACACCCCUCACAUUUCAGAAUUU
Molecule: small nuclear RNA, 325 nt
Filed under: Propithecus coquereli (Coquerel's sifaka)
Lineage: Eukaryota; Metazoa; Chordata; Mammalia; Primates; Indriidae
Description: 7SK RNA (ENSPCOG00000000773.1)
Rfam family: 7SK RNA
About the family: 7SK was discovered as an abundant small nuclear RNA in the mid-70s but a possible function has only recently been suggested. Two independent studies have found that 7SK RNA binds the CDK9/cyclin T complex (known as elongation factor P-TEFb).
Source: RNAcentral